UUUAGCACCACAAAAUCUCAUCCUGAAAUCCAGAAAUCAAGACAGAGAACCAGUACUAAUCCAAAACAAAUAACUGAAUAAUUGAAAUAAAUUAUGAAAUAUGUACCAUCUGUUACAAUCAAUCUAACUGUUGUUGCGGCGGCAUCUCUGAACCUGUAAAUAAAAUAAAAUAUAUGUAUAUUAGAUUUAUUGAUAUAUUACUCAUAAUAUUGAAUAAAAGAAAUGGUCAAACCUUGGAUUGUAUGACUAUCAUCCUCUGAACUUGAAGAUGAUGUUGCACCUUCAUUGUUGGGAGAAUCUCUACAUAAAAGCCAAAAUAACAACAGUCAUUUAAAGAUUGAGAUAGUUUAAAUUUUUUACUAUUACUUACCGAUGUGCAACUAUUGGACAAUUUCUUUUGUCAUGUGAUUGUCCAAAUUUCCCACAACCAUGACAACGUCUAGCCCUUGAGUUCUUGGCCUUUCCUAAUGCCCUUUCUUUCCCUUCUUUAAGUCUUUUGCCACAUCCUUUUGCUCUCACUUGAUUUGGUUCAUUGUACAUAUGGUCUUUAUCAAGACUCAUCUUCCUAGAGAGCACACUUCCACAAGAUUGUGAACUUUUACCACUAUCUGCAACAAGAUUGAUUGAUUCGAGUAAACUAGGGGUGUAAACGGUAUUAAACGGAUACGGAUACAGGUAUAUCCAUAUCCGUAUCCGGAAAAUUAAUUCGCUAUCCGUAUCCGUAUCCGGUAUCCGGCGGAUUUUAAAAAUAUUAUCCGUAUCCGAUAUUCGGAAAAAUAUUCGAAUACGAAUAAUAUCCGUUACCGUUUAUUUUAUCCGAAUAGACAAAUUAUUCGGAUAUCCGAAUAUCCAAAUUCGUUUAUCAGUAACCUAAUAUAAAAUUCAUUCAAAAUAUUUACGAAAAAAAAUAUUAAAGUUUAAAUCAUACAUAUUAAUUAAACACAAUUUAAUAUUUAAACCAUACAUAUUAAUUAAAUAUCCUAAUCAUAAAGGGAGGAACAUGCUAAUUGACGUUUUGGGUGAAAAUAAAAAGAUUCAAUAAUGUAACCGAUACUUUGUUUGAUGGAUCAAAUUGAAAUUAAAAUCUCAAUAUUAUUCUUUCAAAUUUUAUUAAAUAAUAAAAAAGAGAAAUAAAUUAAUAUUUAAUAAAUGAAUAGUAAUAUUUAUGGGAGAUUUAUUUAUUAUUUAUCCUCAAUAAAUAAAUUACAUGGUUAUAAGAAAUUAUUUGAUUUCAUUAUAUUUAUGGAGAGUGCGAGUUAUAAUGUAUGUGUGACAACUAGUUAAUCUAACUUGAUUCAAAAUUGACAUUGAACUUAUUUUACAUAUUUGGACUUCUAGUUUCUAAAUAAUUAGGCAAAUGAAAGUGAUAAAUACUCUCUCCACCCAAAAAUUCAUAAACGUGAAUUAAUUUAUUUAACUCUCCCUUCUAGAUUAAUUUUAAAUUAAUUCAGACCUAACACAUUUUAACAAUAAAAUUAUAUUGUCCAUUGCUCCCGCCUCUCGACCGUUGUCCUUAAACGUGUGUGUAUAUAUAUAUAAAUAUAUAUUAAUAGCUUAUAUAAAUGAAUGUAAGUGAUUAAUUAAUGAAUGUAAGUUAUUAAUAUAUAUGUGUGUGUGUAUAUUGUAUAUAUAUAUAUAUAUAUAUAUAUAUAUAUAUAUAUAUAUAUGUAAGUUAUUAAUUAAUUAAUGCAAGUUAUUAAUAUAUAUGUGUGUAUAUAUAUAAUAACUUAUAUAUAUAAAUGUAUAUGUAAGUUAUUAAUUAAUGAAUAUAAGUUAAAGUGAUUAAUUAAUGAAUCUAAGUUAUGAUUUAUUAAUAUAUAUAUAUAUACACACACACGUAUAUAUUAAUAACUUAUAUAAAUAAAUGUAAGUGAUUAAUCAAUGAAUGUAAGUUAUUAAUAAAUACAUAUAUAUUAUAUAUAUAUAUAUAUAUUAAAUUAUUAACAACUUAUAUAGGUAAAUUAUUAAUUAAUAAUUUACAUUAAUUAAUAACUUAAUUAAUGUAAAUAUUAAGUGUGUGUGUGUGUGUGUAUAUAUAUAUAUAUAUAUAUAUAAGUUAUUCGGAUACGGAUUCCAGAUAUCGAAAUUCGGAUAUCCAUAUCCGCCGGAUAUAUUUACGGACGGAUGUUAAUCGAAUACGAAUACGCCUAUAUCCGUAUUCGUAUCCGUUUAUUUACAUCCACCUUUAAACCGAAUACGGAUAUAUCCAUUCUUUUUCCGAAUACGAAUAAUAUCCGCUUUUUUUCGAAUACGGAUGCGGACGAAUACGAAUUUUCCGGUUACCAUUUACAGCCCUAGAGUAAACGAGCCAAAGCAUCUUUAUACAUAUUAAUUCCUUCUUGGCUUGUGAGGGCGAUAUUAAUAACAUCCAAAGAACAUUGGAUUAAUUCACUCCGCUUGAUUAGAUAUUCUUUGUCACUAUUUAUCAUUAUACCACUUCCAUUAUCAACCACUAUCACAGAGUUUGCUUUCUUAGUCCACCUUUUCAAGAUGUAUUGUUGGGGCAAUUCGUCAAAAUCAUGCAUUUUGAGCAAGUAACCAAACACAUGUCUACAUGGUAUCCCCAUACUCUUAAACUUGUGGCAACUACAUGAAGCAAAACCCAAUCCUUUGUCAUAAAUAAGUUGUCACACUCUUUGUGUGAAUUUUCUUCUUCUUUGAACUUGAAAUAUGCAUUGAUUGUCACUCUCCGUGAUAAGCUCAAAACGGUAAUUCAAGCAUUCUCAUAUCUCAAGUUCAAAUUUGUAAAACAUUUCCCGAGUAUAAAUUUCAACCAUUUGGAAUAGAAAGUCAUGAUUCAUCUUCACUUUAGGCUUCUCAAUCAAAUCUUUGUGAUCGGCCAACAACUCUUCCUGACGUUGGCGUACUAGCCCCCUAUUAAAUUGGAUCAUGAAAUCAACUAAUGAAUUAUUCUUAGAAACAUAUCUUUUGAAAAAAGCGUGAGAGCUUUCCGCUCGUUGGCUACUUGACAUAUUGGCUGAGAAAACAUGAUUACAAUAAGCUGGCACCCAAUUUGUACGAAUGUCAUACAUUGUUUGUAACCAUUUGUUGUCAUGUAACCCGCUCCUCCCAACAAGCUCUGUCCAAGUCAAAUCAAACUCUUCUUUAGACUCUGAAUUCCAAAUACAAUUGGCAAAUUCAUUAUAGUGAGCAUUAUACUUCACUGAGUCUAAUUUUUCUGAAAAUUUUGUCAAUAUGUGCCAACUACAGAAUCUAUGAAAAGUAUCCGGAAGAGUUUCUAAUAUUGCUUUGGACAUCGCGGGAUCUUGAUUAGUAAUGAUCAUUUUAGGGGCAUCACCUGGCAUAGCCUCUAAAAAUUGGUUGAAUAGCCAAACAAAUGAAUUCGAGGUCUCGUCACUUAAGAAUGCACAAGCAAAAAUUAUGGUUUGACCAUGUUUGUUGACUCCCAUCAGUGGUGCAAAAAUUAGCCCAUAUCGAUUGGUGUUGUAUGUAGUAUCGAAGACGACUACAUCACCAUAAAAAUUAUAUGCCCUUCUAGAGGUAGCAUCAGCCCAAAAAUAAUGUGUUAUCCUCUGUUCAUUAUCGACCCUAAUUUUAUAAUUGAAUGAUGGAUUCUUGCCCUUUUUUAAUUUGCAAAACUCACUAAACAUUUCUCUGUCAUGCCCCUUCAACUCAUUACGUCUAUCCCUUUCAUAAUUAUAUAAAUCUGUUUGUGUACACCCAAUGUUUUCAAACCCUCCAGCCUGUACUUAGUCCUGGAAAACGGGCCCAAAGCCCGCAGGCCGGCCCGGCCCGGCCGCCAAAACCCGGGCUUUGGGCCGCCAUUUUUAAGCCCAUGAAAACCUGGGCCGUUUUGGCCAGGCCCGCGGGCGCCCGACCCGCCCGCCAACCAUUAAAUUUAUUAUUUUUUUUUAAAUAAAGUGUUAGGUUGUGAGGCUUGAACACAAGACUUGUAAGUAAAUAAAUAAGAGUUCAAACCAACUGAGCUACAACAACUAUUUGUUUUUAAUGUAAUCUUCAAUAUAUUGUAACUAUAAUUGAAAAAAUUAUAAUUAAGAUAUGUAGUUAAUGUAAUUUAAACAACAAAUUCAAAUCCAAAUUAUCAUCAUAAAUAAUGUAGGUAAUUAAUUAAUAAUACUAAUUUACUCAUAACGGUGGAAUGUCUCCACUCCACAAUGCUAUAUAUCUGAAUCUUGAUGAAAUAAUUACAAUUGCGAUAUUACAUUUCUGAAAAUUGAAUAACUACAUAUGUUAUUGACCCAAUGUGUAACUACUGCUGAUAUCCCGCAUCACUGGAGGCGUAUAAGCUUCUUGGUUCAAAAUGUUACUACUGGGCAAUGCAACUACCUGCUGGUGUAAAUAUGGGAAAAUAAUAAAUGAAAAGAAGAAAUCACUAGUAUAAGCACCGACACUCUUAUACAAAAAUUAGUGCACUUCUUGCAUUGGUUAUUCUAAUACGAUAGCUUUAUUCUUUUCAGUUUGUACAUGUUGCACACAGAAAGCAAGGACCCAUUUCUCUCGUACCGUAAUUUAUAAUACUAUUAAAAUUUUAAUUAAUUGAGAUAUGUAGUUAGUGUAUGUAAUUAAUUAAUUGUGUUUGUUUGUAUUAUUAUUUAUUAUAAAUUAUUUUAUUAUUUUUAAUAUUUAUUAUUAUUAUUAUUUUUGGUGUAACAAAGAGUGUACAAAAAAAAAAAUUAAUGGCCGAAGCCCGCGGGCCGGCCCGCCCGCCCGCCACGGGCUGGCCAUUUUCAGCCCACCAAAACCCGGGCCUUUUUGGCCCGGCCCGGCCGUUUUCCAGGUCUACCUGUACUCCAAGGAAAUUGAAUUGUUGAUGUGAGGGUAUGUUUAUCAUGGAAAGUUGUUGAGUCAAACACUUUUGCGCACUCGAAACACUUCGGUGAGAUCUUAAUAGAUGUUUCUUUGAUGGAGUUGCCAAUGGAUGACUAUGACCCUCAUUAAAUUGGGUGACUACAUAAGCCUCAGAAUUUAUUUUCAACAUAGCUACUAUUGCUUUACAACUCUCUUCUAUCGAUCCCCGACGUCUUUUAGUUUCAACAUCCGAAAUUGUUUUUCCCUUACCUUGUUUAAAACAGACAAAUUCUUUCCUUUUGACUUCGUCGCUUCCUUCAAAUUUCUUAGUAGCCCAACUUCGAAUACUAAAUCCCGCCUCUUUAGCAUAUGCAUUGUAAAAAUCCCUAACUUCAUCCAUUGUUUUGAAUUCUUUUCGAACACUAGGUUUGAGAUGAUCGGCUACUUGUGGAUUAUAGAUAAAAGUUUUCCUACCUUCAUCACUCUCCCCUUUAAUUCUAUUAUUCUCUACUUCCUUUUCAUUAUUGUCAACAUUAUCACCACAUUCAUCACUACCCCGUACUUCAUCCUCUAAGUUAGCAUCCAUCCCUACAGUUAAAAAAAACAAACAACAUUUAAGUCCGGACAACAACAAUUUGAAGAACAUUGAGAAUUGCAUAUUUCUUCUAUGUUUCUUUGUCAGAAGCAUAUUUAACUUAUUUUUUCUCAUAUGGUCAGUAAGUUCUCAGUACAUCAUAGUAGACACCCAAAAUGGAAAUUUACUGUAACUUCAAUGGAAAUAACAAAUCUAAGCAUAUGGUCAGUAAGUUUAAUGGAAAUUUACUGUAACUUGCCUCAUAGCAAACACCCAAAAUACAAAAAAAAAACACAGAUACAAGAUUAUCGGCCAAAAUCCAAUAAACAACUCCAAUUAAACAAAUAUUGGAAAAAAAUCUGUUUAAAACUAUCAAAGUUUGGUGAAAAUUUAUAUUUUAGGAGAGAAUCUCACUGAACUUACUAUUUGCAAACCCUAGCUUCAAGGGGCUUUGAGAGAUAAUCCAAUAUCGAAGUUUUCCCUUUCGCGAAUCUAGCUUCACCUUUGUUGGCAGAGUGAGAAUCGGUUUGAGAGAUAAACCUUUGUUGGUUUGAGAGAGAAUCGAGCGCUAAGGGCAGAGUAAGAGAGAAGCUAGAAUCAGUAUGAAUCGCCCUUUUGCGAGAGUCAAUUUUGAAAGGGUUUUCGACUGGCAGAGUUGGUUUUCAGAUCUGCACGAAUGGGUUCAGAAAGAGAGAAGAAGAGGAAGGGGGAGUCUUUUGACCCGCGUGCUUCAUUUGACC
Molecule: long non-coding RNA, 6084 nt
Filed under: Panax ginseng (ginseng)
Lineage: Eukaryota; Viridiplantae; Streptophyta; Magnoliopsida; Apiales; Araliaceae
Description: long non-coding RNA (PGIN_LNC000474)
Source: RNAcentral